UUUGGCUGGAGAUUGCAGAGAAACCAGCUGAUGGGAAGAAAGGGGCCGAGCGCAUCACGGGCUUCCUGGGGCUGCAGCCCCCGGCGCAGUUCCUCAUUCCGCUCGCACUCGGGCCUCAGACUGGGUGGAGCUCAGCACUGGGGUGUUGGUGGCAGCACUGAGGGGCCCCCCACUGCCCUGUCAUGGCAUCUGCUCUGACCGUCCUCCUCCUCGGCUGCUGGCUGGCCGGGUGGAGUGGGGUGUCCGGACAGGGGUCCUACCCCAAACCCUCCAUCUCCGUCAGCCCCAGUGGGGUGAUCCCCGUGGGGGGGAAACGUCACCAUCCGGUGUCGGAAUCAGCUCCUGGGCAUGAGGAUCCAACUCUACAAGGAUGGAGCUGGGAAGGAGCUGACUUACACAGACCCUGCCGGCUCUGAGGCUGAAUUUCCCAUCACCAGCGCCAGACGGGAAGACGGGGGCAGCUACACCUGUCGUUAUAGCCACAGAACAGGACCACCUGCCUACUCGGAGCCCAGUGACCCUGUGCAGAUCAUUGUAGCAGAUCCCAACUUACCCAGACCCUCC
Mauremys mutica (yellowpond turtle) is the source of this 564-nucleotide long non-coding RNA. RefSeq lists it as uncharacterized. The record is from RefSeq and is a predicted model, not a curated record. The transcript is spliced from 4 exons. NCBI's taxonomy places the organism in Eukaryota, Metazoa, Chordata, Testudines, Geoemydidae.